AAGUUAGUGGCGAACGGGUGAGUAAUACAUCGGAACGUACCCAGUUGUGGGGGAUAACGUAGCGAAAGUUACGCUAAUACCGCAUACGCACUGAGGUGGAAAGCGGGGGACCUUCGGGCCUCGCGCAAUUGGAGCGGCCGAUGUCGGAUUAGCUAGUUGGUGAGGUAAAGGCUCACCAAGGCGACGAUCCGUAGCUGGUCUGAGAGGACGACCAGCCACACUGGAACUGAGACACGGUCCAGACUCCUACGGGAGGCAGCAGUGGGGAAUUUUGGACAAUGGGCGAAAGCCUGAUCCAGCCAUGCCGCGUGAGUGAAGAAGGCCUUCGGGUUGUAAAGCUCUUUCAGACGGAAAGAAAUUGCUUCGGUGAAUAUCCGGAGUAGAUGACGGUACCGUAAGAAGAAGCACCGGCUAACUACGUGCCAGCAGCCGCGGUAAUACGUAGGGUGCGAGCGUUAAUCGGAAUUACUGGGCGUAAAGGGUGCGCAGGCGGUUAUAUAAGACAGAUGUGAAAUCCCCGGGCUCAACCUGGGAACUGCGUUUGUGACUGUAUAACUAGAGUACGGUAGAGAGGGGUGGAAUUCCUGGUGUAGCAGUGAAAUGCGUAGAUAUCAGGAGGA
RNAcentral lists this ribosomal RNA (620 nucleotides) under uncultured bacterium. RNAcentral describes it as "bacterial SSU rRNA". It matches the Rfam family "Bacterial small subunit ribosomal RNA", at positions 89 to 705 of the family's 1533-position model. The record is from RNAcentral.